GCCCAGACUCCUACGGGAGGCAGCAGUGAGGAAUAUUGGUCAAUGGGCUUACGCCUGAACCAGCCAAGUCGCGUGAGGGAAGACUGCCCUAUGGGUUGUAAACCUCUUUUGUCAGGGAGCAACGCCGGCUACGUGUAGCCGGACUGAGAGUACCUGAAGAAAAAGCAUCGGCUAACUCCGUGCCAGCAGCCGCGGUAAUACGGAGGAUGCGAGCGUUAUCCGGAUUUAUUGGGUUUAAAGGGUGCGUAGGGGGGACGCCAAGACGGGGGAAAAACGGGGGGGCCACCCCCCGGCCCGCCGUUGAAACUGGCAGUCUCGAGUUGGAGAGAAGUAUGCGGAAUGCGCGGUGUAGCGGUGAAAUGCAUAGAUAUCGCGCAGAACUCCGAUUGCGAAGGCAGCAUGCCGGCUCCACACUGACGCUGAGGCACGAAAGCGUGGGUAUCGAACAGGAUUAGAUACCCGCGUAC
RNAcentral lists this ribosomal RNA (467 nucleotides) under uncultured bacterium. RNAcentral's name for it is "partial 16S ribosomal RNA". It matches the Rfam family "Bacterial small subunit ribosomal RNA", at positions 329 to 793 of the family's 1533-position model. The record is from RNAcentral.